CAGCAGCCGCGGUAAUACCUGCAGCCCAAGUGGUGGUCGAUUUUAUUGAGUCUAAAACGUUCGUAGCCGGUUCGAUAAAUCUUUGGGUAAAUCGGGGAGCUUAACUUUCCGUCUUCCGAGGAGACUGUCGAACUUGGGACCGGGAGAGGCUAGAGGUACUUCUGGGGUAGGGGUAAAAUCCUGUAAUCCUAGAAGGACCACCGGUGGCGAAGGCGUCUAGCUAGAACGGAUCCGACGGUGAGGGACGAAGCCCUGGGUCGCAAACGGGAUUAGAUACCCCGGUAGUCCAGGGUGUAAACGCUGCAGACUUGGUGUUGGAAGUCCUUUGGGGGCAUUCAGUGCCGGAGAGAAGUUGUUAAGUCUGCUACUUGGGGAGUACGUCCGCAAGGAUGAAACUUAAAGGAAUUGGCGGGGGAGCACCGCAACGGGAGGAGCGUGCGGUUUAAUUGGAUUCAACACCGUAAAACUCACCAGGGAAGACUGUUACAUGAAAGCCGAGAUGAAGACUCUGCUAGAUUUUCAGAGAGGAGGUGCAUGGCC
This 540-nucleotide ribosomal RNA is filed under the name uncultured archaeon. Its description in RNAcentral is "bacterial SSU rRNA". It matches the Rfam family "Archaeal small subunit ribosomal RNA", at positions 459 to 999 of the family's 1478-position model. The record is from RNAcentral.